This 1896-nucleotide long non-coding RNA is filed under the name Marmota monax (woodchuck). The record is from RNAcentral. Lineage: Eukaryota; Metazoa; Chordata; Mammalia; Rodentia; Sciuridae.
GAAGCAAAUUAAAUUAAUGUUAAAUGUCAUGCAGGAAGUGGAAUGAAGUACAAUUUCAGAGAAUGACUAGAGUCAGUGUUUCAGUUGUCAGAGAACUUGUUCAUGCCUCUUUUUAAAUGGAGGAGGGUAGAUAUGAAUUCUGUUUGGUAUUUGUAUUUGAUUGGAUACAUUUAAGAGUAACAUAAUAAUUUUAUUUCUAAAUGUUAAUAUUUAUGACACUGGUAUCAGUCAGGGUUCUCUAGAGGAACAGAAUCAGCAGGAAGUACAAUUAUAAAUGGGGAAUUUACUAGGUUGGCCUAUGCGACCAGAAGCCGGAUAGUCCACAGUGGCCGUCUGCAGGCUGGAGAGCUGGAGGAACUGGUAGCCGCGCAGUCCAAGGGGCUGAAGCCCCAGAACAAGAGAGAUCAACGGUGCUACCCUAGUCUGAGACCAAAGGCUUCUGGAGAAUCAUUGGCAGAAUCAUCUUUGGAAGAAUGAAGAAGCCAGAAUCCAAUAUCCUCAGAUGAUCACAGCAGCAAUCAAGAACCCCUUCAAGAAGAAUCCAGCUUGUAUCUGCUGCUUCCUUGUUCUUCCAACUUUUAUUCCAUCCAAGCCACCAUCCUAUUGGAUGGUGCUUCCUACCCUUAGGGCGGGUCUCCACUUCAGUUGGCUAUCCCACAUGCCAAUCAUUCCUAGAAACACCCUCAUCGAUACACCCAGAAGCCUCUUAAUCAUUGACAUCUCUUCAUCCAAUCAAGUUGACAAUUCAAAUUAACCAUUACAACACAGGAGAAAUUAUAUUUUUGGACAAUUAUUUCAAUUUGUGAUGAAAAUAUUUGGACAUCAACUUAACCCAUUUUGUUUCAUUGACCCAGAUGUGGAAUACCUAUAAAAACUUACAUGUAGUCCACAAUAUAAAACAUAAUUAUAUAACAAUACUAAUAAUUUUAUUAUGAUACAGUGAUUAUAAUAAUAUUACUUAAUAUAAUAAUAAUAUAUACGUCAUAGGUUAUGAUUUCCAAUCUAUUCUAAUGCACCUGUGUUAAUUUCAUUGGAAUCUUGGCAGAAUUGAAAAUGGGGACUUAAUUGUUUAGCAUAUGAUCAUAAUCAUGGUUGCUGGAAAUUCUUUUAGGGAAAAUUUAGACCUCUGAAGUAGACAGCUCUUUAGAAAGUUUAUAGGUAGAUGACAGAAGAGAGAAGCUAGAAGCGUCCUAGGGUGCUGGGAGACUUUUUCAUUUUGGCCAAGAUUUAUGUAUUUAUAAGAUAUAUGUAUUUACAGACUUGAGAAUACUCAUAGGAAAGAACCAGAGUCUCAUAUCUAUACUUGAUUCUUUCAGAUCAUGAGUUCUGAACUCAGGUUUAGAACAUCUCGGCCCUUCCACAUCUAAAAGUCUGAAGCCACCUCCUCAAUAGUGGGACUCACUCUGCCCACCAGGCAUAAGUACCUUCUCACAGGUUAUCUUCAUUUUGGUUUUGAAAAUGCUGAGAAAAAGCUGAUUUGGUGGGAACUUUAAAACUCUGCUCGUUACUGGGUCUCACCUGGAUUCAUGGGACUCCCCAUCCAUCUGUUCCCUUCCAUUUCCCACUUCAAGUUCCCAUCACCUCAUGUCAGCUAGACUGAGGAAGAGGAGGAGAGAAGAAGGCAGAAAUCUCUACUCUUGUCCCUUGAGUGAGAUAAUGGGCCAAAGAAAAACAUAAGUAGGUUCCUCUGGAGUUAAAUUUGAAAGAAGAGUACUUGUGGGUGUUUUUGAAAUAAUUUCAACUAAAAUUUUAAAGAAAUGAGUUUUCUGGCACAAGCUUGGGAGGGAGAAGUCAUAACUACCCUCCUGCAUAAGUUUCUGGCUUGUGGUUUCAGCUUUGUUUCUAGAGAUCAUGCUUAUUACAGAGAAUCUUUUCUACUUAAAUAUUAGCUUUGGG